This 1201-nucleotide long non-coding RNA is filed under the name Capra hircus (goat). RNAcentral describes it as "lncRNA (ENSCHIG00010007997.1)". The record is from RNAcentral. Lineage: Eukaryota; Metazoa; Chordata; Mammalia; Artiodactyla; Bovidae.
GCUAGAGGAAAGCACUCAAAAAUACUAGGGUAGCCAAACCAGAGAAUGGAGAGAUUUUUAAUACUUUGAUUCCUUCUUCUACCUCACAAUGUUUACAGCUCUCACCCCCAGAAGAGAGAUGGGGAAACAUUGGUGAAUGACGACUACUCAGGCCUUACAAUAUACCAGCAUGGGACUCAUUUUUACAUAUAUUUUCUUCAUUCAAAUCUCACAGUAACCCUUAAGUAUAGCAUGUUUUUCCAGAUCUGGCAGUUCUCAAAAUUGUUGAUCUUUCUUCCAAACCGUACACCUCUCUAGGGGCAAAAGAACUAGCUUAGUAUAGCAGAAACGGUUUUCAUCCGGCUAUUCUUCUAGGAAUCAGAGACAGUCAUUGUGAAUAAAGUGGACAGAAUGCAGGUCCUUGUAGACUCACAUUCUACUGGGGUAUAUAGGCAAUAAAUUAGAUAAAUGAGCAAAUUAGAAAGCAUGUCAGAUAUUAGUAAUGGUUAAGGAGAAAAAAUGCUGAAGAAAGGGAAUAGUACUUCCAAAAGACAAGGGAUAGGUGGGGAGGGGACCAGAUAAAGUCUCCUUAGAGGCAUAAGAGGACAAGCUUUUCUUAAAUCAUGUGACUCUGUCAAUCAAAAUCUCCUUUUGACAGGCUUUCCUGUCUUUCAAAGUAGUUAGAGAAAAAUUGUUUCCAUCCCUAGUCUGUUACUGUAUACCUUGUUCUUCCUUAUCAUUCAGGUCUCAGAUAGGCCAGUCCUGGCUACACAAAGCUAGUUGCCUCAUCAUUUACCAGGCAGUCAUCACUCUCUAGCACAUAUCACAUCUAACACUUUCUACAACUUGUAAUUUAAUUGCAUGUUUAUUUAUUUGCAUGUUUGUCUCCCCACCAUUUAUAUUUAUGAGCAGGAGGCCCAGGAUAAGGUCUUGCCACACCUGCCCACAUCCAAUGCUCAGCUCAGUGCCUGACGACUCUGUGAAGAGGAAUGAAUAUACCCUUCUAGCAAUCAUCAUGGAUAGCCUUAAUUCCUCUGUGAAAAACCUGUUGUUUUACAAUUACUUUUCACCAGCACAUUUAUCAUAUAAUGUAAGGGAAUCCUGCUAUUCCGUGACAGUAACACACAAUCAAGGCUUUAAGAAAAUAAAAGGCAAAGAAUAUCAAAGCACUUCAAAGUUAGAAGGAGGCGUUUGGUCCUCUCUCCUCCUCUGUAGUCUGUAG